This 408-nucleotide ribosomal RNA is filed under the name uncultured bacterium. RNAcentral describes it as "bacterial SSU rRNA". It matches the Rfam family "Bacterial small subunit ribosomal RNA", at positions 355 to 775 of the family's 1533-position model. The record is from RNAcentral.
UGGGGAAUAUUGCGCAAUGGGCGAAAGCCUGACGCAGCAACGCCGCGUGCGGGAUGACGGCCUUCGGGUUGUAAACCGCUUUCAGCAGGGACGAAGUGAAAAUGACGGUACCUGCAGAAGAAGCACCGGCUAACUACGUGCCAGCAGCCGCGGUGAUACGUAGGGUGCGAGCGUUGUCCGGAAUUAUUGGGCGUAAAGAGCUUGUAGGCGGUCUGUUGCGUCGGAAGUGAAAACUCAGGGCUUAACCCUGAGCCUGCUUUCGAUACGGGCAGACUUGAGGGAUGUAGGGGAGAACGGAAUUCCUGGUGGAGCGGUGGAAUGCGCAGAUAUCAGGAGGAACACCAGUGGCGAAGGCGGUUCUCUGGACAUUUCCUGACGCUGAGAAGCGAAAGCGUGGGGAGCAAACAG